RNAcentral lists this long non-coding RNA (574 nucleotides) under Mytilus galloprovincialis (Mediterranean mussel). The record is from RNAcentral. Lineage: Eukaryota; Metazoa; Mollusca; Bivalvia; Mytilida; Mytilidae.
UUUAAAGUUUUCAGACUAAACCAUACAAUGCAAUGAUCUGAUAGUUCAUUAGGGGGAAGUACAUGUAGAAAAGGAAAACUAUUUACAAUGUCUUCACUGACAAUAACAUAAUCUAUAUUACUUCUACCAUUUGGACAAAAAUAGGUAAAGUUACCUAGGGAGUCACCCAUCGCUCUGCCAUUAAGAAUUCUCGUUUUUGACUCAAUACAAAGAUCAAUAAUAUUUUUGCCUUGUUCAUUUACAAUUGUAUCCAUGUUUUGUCUUAUGGUUAAUGGGUCGUCUACAGAGUAGUUUGUUGGAAGAUAAUUAUUAUCUAUAUGUGAAAUGUGGUCUAGUUCAAUAUAAUCAAACAAAUCUCCAGUCCGGGCAUUAAAAUCUCCCAUUAAAACAACUUUCCCUUUAUGGGAGAAGUUGUCUAUAGAGUUUUUCAAAUUUUCAAAUAAAGAAUCAUGAUCAGGGGAAACUGAAGCCAUUCUUGGUUUAAUAUAAACAGUGCAAAUAUAAAUGUCAUGGGGUAAACCCAGUUGAGUUUUAUUUAAUUUUAUCCAUAUAUAGUCUUUAGUAGAUAUAACUU